Molecule: RNA transcript, 10085 nt
Organism: Nycticebus coucang (slow loris)
Lineage: Eukaryota; Metazoa; Chordata; Mammalia; Primates; Lorisidae
Gene: TDRD6
Gene name: tudor domain containing 6
Exons: 5
Source: RefSeq, a predicted model, not a curated record
CUGCGCGGGGCCCAACCGUGGGCAGUUGGUCAGGCCGCCGGGUCUUACCAGUCGGCGCGAGUCUCCGAGGCCCUGCGUCGGACGCCCUACCCGUUCCCUCGGUCCUUGGGGCUUAGUCUGGUGGGACUCACCUGCCCGCGGCGCGGGGACUUUCGCGGGCCGGACGCGCGGUCCUCACAGCUCGCCGUGGAGAUGUGUUCGACGCCGGCGCUGCCGACGCCGGGGGCCUCGCUGGCCCUGCGGGUGUCCUUCGUGGACGUGAUUCCCGAGGUGAUCCCCGUGCAGCUAUGGGGCCUGGUGGGCGAACGGCGGGACGAGUACGUGCGGCUGAGCCAGGAGAUCCAGGAAGCAGCGGCCUCGCGCGGCCCGUGGGCGUUGGGCGGCGCCUCGGCCUCACCGGGCGAGCUGUGCCUGGUGCAGGUGGGGCUCCUGUGGCACCGCUGCCGCGUGGUCAGCCGCCAGGCGCAGGAGAGCCGCGUCUUCCUGCUGGACGAGGGCCGCACCAUCACGGUCGGCGCAGGCUCCCUGGCGCCCGGGCGCAGCGAGUUCUUCCACCUGCCCUCGGAGGUGCUGGGCUGCGUGCUGGCCGGCCUGGUGCCGGGGGGCGGCAGCGGCGCGGGCGGGGGCGAGCCGCAGCACUGGUCUUCCGGCGCCGUGGACUUCCUUAGCAACCUUCCCGGUAAGGAGGUGCACGGGCGGGUCCUGGAUGUGCUGCUCCUCCAUCGCCUGGUCCUUCUGGAGGUGCCAAGUCUGGUCCAGCAGAUGCAGGAGCUCGGCUUGGCUCGGCAGGUCCCCGACAGCCUCUUCCACUCGUUGCUCAAGCGUCACCUCAAAGUGGCCACUUCUGGCAUAGCCCCUGGCGUCCCUGUUCUCCCGAGAGUUCUGCCCAAGCAAGAGCAGCCUGGCCUGGAUUAUUUCUAUCCCCAGCUGCAGCUGGGUGUGACGGAGCCCGUAGUGGUAACCCAAGUGUGCCAUCCCCACCGUAUUCACUGCCAGCUCCGGAGCCUCUCGCAGGAGAUCCACCGCCUUUCGGAGAGCAUGGCGCAAGUAUACCGGGCUUCCACGGUGACAGGGGAUGGGAACUCCUCCAGUGCCACUUGGGAGGAGAGGGAGGAGAGCCCGGACAAGCCGGGCUCUCCAUGCGCGUCCUGUGGACUGGAUGGACACUGGUACCGAGCGCUCUUGCUUGAGACUUUUCGGCCCCAGCGCUGUGCCCAGGUGCUUCACGUAGACUAUGGAAGGAAGGAGUUGGUGAGUUGUAGUAGCCUUCGGUACUUGCUGCCUGAAUAUUUCCGAAUGCCCGUGGUGACCUACCCUUGUGCUUUGUAUGGACUCUGGGACGGUGGGAGAGGUUGGUCUCGGUCACAAGUUGGUGACCUGAAAGCUCUGAUACUGGGCCAGGCGGUGAAUGCAAAGAUUGAAUUUUAUUGCUCCUUUGAGCACGUGUAUUAUGUCACCUUGUAUGGAGAAGACGGGGUUGAUCUUAACUGUGUGUUUGGAGUACAGUCUUGUUGCUUGGCUGACCGAUUCCUUCAGAGCCAAGGAAUAGAGGAGGCGGAGGAGGAGGAAGAGCCAGCGACAGCUUCUCAGUCUCCCACUGAAGAAGUGGACGAAGAAGUGUCACUCCCAGCCUUGAGAUCUAUCCGGUUAAAGAUGAACGCCUUCUACGAUGCCCAGGUAGAGUUUAUUAAAAAUCCUUCUGAGUUUUGGAUUCGGUUGAGGAAACACAAUGGCACCUUCAGCAAGCUGAUGCGGAGGAUGUGCAGUUUCUAUUCCUCGGCCAGAAAGCUGGAUGGUGUGGUUUUGAAACCUGAACCUGAUGACCUUUGCUGCGUCAAAUGGAAAGAAAAUGGCUAUUUUCGAGCCAUUGUCACCAGAUUAGAUGACAAGAGUGUGGAUGUAUUCUUAGUUGACCGUGGGAAUUCAGAAAAUGUGGACUGGUAUGACGUAAGGAUGUUGCUUCCUCAGUUUAGGAGGCUACCAAUAUUGGCCCUGAGGUGCACCCUGGCAGAUAUCUGGCCUCUGGGAAAAACUUGGAGCCAGGAAGCAAUUUCCUUUUUUAAAAAGACUGUACUCCACAAAGAAUUAGUCAUCCAUGUUCUUGAUAAGCAGGAUCAUCAAUACAUCAUUGAGAUUCUGGAUGAAUCGAGAACAGGGGAAGAAAACAUUAGUAAGGUAAUUGCUCAAGCUGGAUAUGCCAAGUAUCAGGAAUUCGAAACAAAGGAAAAUAUCCCAGUCAAUGCCCACUCCCCAGGGCAUGGUUCAAACCACUUUCCUGCUGAGAAUAACAAAAUACCUUCUUCCAGGAAGGUGGAAGGAGAACAGAAAGCCAAGAAAGAUCAUAAAGCCACAUCUCUGUCAGAAACUUUGAGGGACACAAUUGUUACACAUGUUUCAAGUGAACUAGUUGUACAGAAUAAAGAGAAAAGAACAUCUGUUUAUUCUCCUCUUACUCAGAAUUUCCUGGACAUUAAGCCAGGCUCCUCUUGUAAGGGAGAGCUGAAAGUUGGAAGUACAGUAGAAGUUAAAGUGUCUUAUGUUAAAAACCCUGGCUAUUUCUGGUGCCAGCUGACCAGAAACAUGCAAGGAUUGAAAACUCUAAUGUGUAAUAUUCAGGACUACUGUAAAUCUACAGCUGCUCCUUAUGACGGAACCACACCUGCUUGUCUGGCAAAACGAACGGUAGAUGGAAAAUGGUCCAGAGCUCUGAUUAGUGGGACACAAUCUUCAGAGCAUGUCAAAGUAAUAUUUGUAGAUUAUGGAGACAAAGAAAUGGUAUCUGUGAAGAAUAUUUAUUCAAUUAAUGAAGAGUUUCUCAAGAUUAAGGCUCAGGCUUUUAGAUGUAGUCUUUAUAAUUUAAUUCAACCAACCGGUCCAAAUCCCUUCAUUUGGGAUGAAAUGGCAAUACAAGCGUUUGCUGACUUUGUAAAUAACGCAUGGCAAAACAAUCUUGAGUUAAAAUGCACAAUAUUUGCUUUGGCCUCCAUACAUGAUGAAGACCUGUUUAAUGUUGUGGAUUUGCUAACACCUUUUCAGAGUGCAUGCCAUUUUUUGGUAGAAAAAAGACUUGCGAGACCAGUAAAACUUCAGAAGCCUCUGGAGUCUUCUGUUCAGCUACAUUCCUUCUACUAUUCUAUACAUGACAUGAAAAUUGGAAGUGAAGAAUCAGUGUACAUAACACAUGUUGAUGACCCGUGGACAUUUUAUUGCCAGCUGGCAAGAAAUGCAGAUAUUUUGGAACAGUUGUCAUGUAGUAUUACACAAUUAAGUAAAGUUGUGAUGAAUUUAAAAACAGCUCCCUUAAUCCCUGGAAACUUGUGCCUUGCCAGGUAUACUGAUGGAAACUGGUAUAGGGGGAUAGUAAUAGAGAAAGAACCAAACAAAGUCUUUUUUGUUGAUUUUGGGAAUGUUUAUGUAGUAACUGGUGAUGAUGUACUUCCGAUACCUAGUGAUGCAUACAGUGUUUUACUUUUGCCCAUGCAAGCUGUUAAAUGCUCAUUAUCCGAUAUUCCUGAUCACAUACCAGAAGAAGUUACAGCAUGGUUUCAGGAAACUAUUUUAGAUAAGUCAUUGAAGGCCUUAGUUGUAGCAAAAGAUCCAGAUGGAAGACUGAUUAUAGAACUAUACAGUGACAAUAUUCAAAUUAAUGCUAGUAUUAAUGAGAAGUUAGGGUUACUUGGUUACAAGGGUAGAAUAAGAAAAAAAGAAAAUAAAGCACUCCUCUCUACAACAGAAACUCUUGAAGAAAAAAAUGAGAAUAUGAAAUUGUCAUCUACAGAGUAUUUAUGUAAAUCAUUUGAGAGCAAGUUAGGCAAUGUGCAGAUUUUGGGAGAAACCUACAAACCUAAGAUCAACUCCGCUUUUAAGGAGCUUAAACGUUUACAAAAUUCAACAAAGACUAACUCGGUCACUCAAUAUCAGGACUCCGUGGCAAAUAAAAACAGUCCACUGUUUUCAUUAGCAAUGGAAAAAAAAGAAAGUUUUGCUGAGCCACUUUUGAAAGCCACGAGAAUAGAAGCCCCUCCUUCAGAGAAAAAAAUAGGAGAUUCGGGUAACAAAGAUUUGCCUCUAAAAUUUUGUGAGUUCCCACAGAAGACUAUAAUGCCUGGCUUUAAAACAACAGUAUAUGUUUCUCAUAUAAAUGACCUUUCAGACUUUUAUGUUCAACUAACAGAGGAUGAAGCUGAGAUUAAUCUUCUUUCAGAGAGAUUAAAUGAUGUUAAAACAAGACCUGAAUUUCAUGCAGGUCCACCUUUGCAAAGAGGAGAUGUAAUAUGUGCCAUUUUCCCAGAAGACAAUUUAUGGUAUCGUGCUGUGGUCAGGGAACAACAGUCCAAAGACCUUCUUGCUGUACAGUUUAUAGAUUAUGGCAAUGUUUCUAUGGUUCAUACUAGCAAAACAGGUAGGCUUGACCUAAUUAAUGCAGUAAUACCAGCAUUGUGCAUUCCUUGUUCCUUAGCAGGACUUUGGGUUCCUGACACCAUACAUUGUAAGGAAAUGAUACAAUCCUUUUCCCAAAGGACUGACGAGGCUCAUGUAACAUGUGAAUUUGUUAAAUUUCAAGGCAAAUGGGAAGUUAUUCUUGCUGACAAACAUGGCAUCAUGGCGGAUGAUAUAAAUAGCAGAUAUGCUUUUAGUGAAAAAUCUAAAAUAGAACUUUCUACCCAAAUAAUUAAAAGUACCUGUUCAAGGUCUGCUAACAAAUUAGACAGUGACACGUCAAUGUUUCUUAACUGGUAUAAUCCAAAAAUAAAGAUGGUAAGAGCUUAUGCCACUGUAAUAGAUGGACCUGAGUAUUUUUGGUGUCAGUUUGCUGAUACUGAGAAACUUCAGCAUUUAGAAGUAGAAGUGCAAACUGCUGGAGAACAGGUAGCAAAUGAGAGAAAUUGUGACCCAUGUCCUCAUAUUGGAGAUCCGUGUAUAGUAAGAUAUAGAGAAGAUGGACAUUAUUAUAGGGCGCUUAUCACUAAUAUUUGUGAAGAUAAUCUUGUAUCUGUCAGGCUUGUGGACUUUGGAAACAUUGAAGACUGCGUAGAUCCCCAAACACUCUGGAACAUUCCUUCUGAACUUUUGUUGGUUCCCAUGCAAGCCUUUCCAUGUUGCCUGUUAGGAUUUAAUAUUUCAGAAGGUAUGUGCCCUCAAGAGGGAAAUGAUUAUUUUUAUGAAAUAGUAACAGAAGAUGUACUGGAAAUAACAAUAUUAGAAAUCAAAAGAGAUGUUUGUGAUAUCCCUUUAGCGAUUGUCGACUUGAAAUGCAAAGGUGAGAGUAUUAGUGAGAAAAUGAAGAAAUAUUCUAAGAUUGAUAUUACUGAGAACGAUCUGCCCAAUGAAACAAGUGGCUCAGAAAAAAAAGAAGUUUGUGGGUCCCCCAGUCCUGAUGUUGGACUUAAGAAACCGAGUAAUAAAGCUGUUCAAGAUGAAACCUUAUUUGUGGAACCACAAAUAGAUGAGCUCUCUGAAAGAAUUGAAAAAGAGUUAAACGUGAUUGAAACCAAACCAAGUAAAUUCUGUGACCUCAAGACUGAUAACAUUUUCGAAGCUUUUGAACACCCAUGCAAAAAUAAAAUCAUUACUGAGGUACUAGAUGGUAAAGUAGAGUGCCAUUUGGUUGACAAAGCGAAGUUUGAAGGUAAAUACCAAAUUACAGGAUUUGAGACGUUAUUACCACGUGCUAAUGAAACAAAGGAAAUACUAGAACGGAAUUCACUUGAGGGGCCACUUUCUCCUGAUGAUGAAUCAAAAGAAUUCUUAGAACUGGAAUCCAUUGAGUUACAACAUUCUCUGGUUGGGGAUGAAGAGAAAGAAGAGUUGGGCCUGGAGCCACCAAGUGUGCUGCUGUCCCAAGGCCAUAACACAAAAGCAACCCUGGAACCAUUCGCAGUGACGCUUUCCCUCAGCUAUGAAACUGAGAAACAGCCAGAAUUAGAACUACCUACAGCCCAGGUAUCUCUAGAUGACAAAUUGAUUCCUUUGUCUUUGAGAGUUAGUCAGAAAAUCCAAGAAUCACUGUGUACUGAGGACAUGACAAAGUCAAGUUGUGGGGAACAUUUCGAUGACCAGCACAGGGUGCCAUUACAUCUACAUGGGAAGAAUUGUGAUUCGAAAAUGCAGAUUGAGAUGAACAUGUAUGAAGAAGCGUUUAUAGAGUAUAAAAGCAGAGAUACCCUUUCAUCACUGAUGCCUUUAUUGUCUGAAGAAGAAUCCAGAGAUGGAAGAAAGCGCAGUAAUGCUUUACCAGAUCAUGUCUCAGCUCAGCCACAGAACACUUACACUCUGAAAGGCUUUACUGUUGGAUCAAAAUGUGUUGUGUGGUCAAGUCUAAGAAACACGUGGUCUAAAUGUAAGAUCUUGGAAAUAGCUGAAGAAGGCACGAGGGUUUUGAACCUUUCAAAUGGUAUGGAGGAAAUAGUGAACCCUGAGAAUGUCUGGAAUGGCAUCCCCAAAUUGGAUAAGAGUCCAUCUGAGAAUGAAAGUUGACUGGUGUUCAUGACUCUUAUAAAAUGUUUGAGGCAGAAAAUCUGAAAAAUACAGCAAAAUUAAAAAUGAGAGUAAUAAUAACUUGUAAUAUGCCCAUUUAAAGAUAAACAGGUUGAUCCAUUUGGCAUUAUUCAUAAUUUUUCUGUUUAAGUGGAAUGUAAGUAUUUUAUCUACAUAUUUUGGACACGAUUGACUUCAUUCUCUCUAUAGUUUAAUAUUCUUCAUUUAAGACUAUAUGCUGGGCAGUUUCCCAAGCUGCUGUGAUAUGUCUAGGCAUUUCAGGGGCGGUUUGUUCAACUUCCUCAACUUUUACUUUAUGGUGUUUGUCUGAUAUUUCCAACAUUUGGUCAUCUCAGGGUUUAUACCUCACAGCUGUAUUUUCCUUAGAGAAAUGGUCAGCUUUUCCUGAUUCUUCUAUGUUGAGUAAUUUUGGAUUCUAUCCUGAGAAUUUAAAAUAUUACAUUGUAAUAUUGAGGUUCUCAUUAAAAUCUGGAGGAUGCUGAAGUCUUGGUUGUAGCCAAUUAUCAUCCUAUGUAGGGUUGUGCCACAGGCUCUGUCUCUCCUGAAGCUAGCUCGUCAGAUCCACCCAGCACAUAAGCCAGUAGGGGGCAUCUGGGCUUGGUCACUGGUUUACAUGGUAGUCAGACGUCAAAGGCUUUGCUGUGCUUGUUAGGCUCUGUUCUGCAUAGCUCAGGGGGAUCAUAUUGGGGGUCAAAAAGUUCCAGCUUCUUUGCUCUUUGACGUUUCCUCCAUGCUUUCUGGCUCCCUGGAUCCCCCUUUUAUUCAGCCCCCCAUAGGCCCUUUUUCUGUUCUCUGGCUAGAAAGCAGGCUUUCCUCAAGGCUUUGUCAUGCAGUUCUGUUUGACUGAGCCUGCCUUUGGAGGGAAGCAGAUCGAGAGAAGAGCAAAAACAAUCUCUUCCCUCUACUCUACAGAUAACCAAAGGACCUUUUCCUGGUUUUACUGGCUGGGGACACAACUCACCUCUCACAUGUUUAGGUACUGGAUUGCCAUUGCUGUCGCCAGGCAGUAACUGGAGCUACCCUCAGGGCAAGGCCAGAAGAAAAAUGAGAAAAGAACAACACACUACAUAGGUCAGUACAGAAGUUUUGAGAUACACAAAAAUCAAGAAACGUAAAAUCCACACAGAUGGAAACAAAGUCUUCACAACAACACCCAUCAGCCAAGCAAGAUGAAACUUGCACAGGUAGAUCAGAAAGGACACAGUCAACUGUGUUUCUUGGAAAUGAAUUAAUGGACCAUGACGUAGUCUGUCUCAAAACUUUUGUAGUGACCCACAUACAGUGAAGGGAUUUCCUACCCAUUCCUUACUCUGUAGCAUUCAAGGACCCUUUAUCCUAACCCACUUGCUGAAAAAUAGGAAAUUUCUCUCCGUUUAUGUUUUUACCCUGGCUGGGUAGUUUUGAUUUGGCCUACCCUCAGAUCAAAACCUGGAGACAAAGAAGUAAGGAAAGUACAGGGUGGCUCCUGUGGCUCAAGGGGGUAGGGCACUGGCCCCGUAUGCCAGAGGUGGUGGGUUCGAACCCAGCCCUGGCCAGAAACUGCAAAAAAAAAAAAAAAAAAAAAAGAAGGAAAGAGCAAAACAAGAAACUCUUGGUGUGAAGUCAUUAUUCAGGUUUUUACUUUAAUUUUUAAUCUUUCUGUACUUGCUUACUUUUGAGUAUCCUCAGAUAGUUGCCUUAUAUAUUCUGUCUAGAAGUCCUAGUUGUAAUUAAUUAGUGAAAGAGAGAGGUUAUAGUAAGCGUACUCCAUCUUGGCCACAGCCAGAAGACCAUAAACAAUUUGGUAGCUGUAUAAUAUUGCAUGACAUUAAUGAGCUAUAAUAUAUUAAACCAUUUCUUAUAGUGUUGGAUAUUUAGGUCACAUAAAAUUUUUACUAUUAAAAAUAUUGAACAUCUCUCUCUUCACCUUCUUGUGCUAGUUCUUUUUUUGUGUGCUUGUCAAAAAGAAAUAGCCUGGUAACACUUUUUUGCAUCAGUAUUUACCCAAAAUUUCUUUUACAUUCUUACUGUCUCUAUUAGUUUUGAAAAGUCUACAAAUAAAUACACAUACGAAUGGAAUGGAAUGGAAUUAUAUCCAAAAUAUAAUUACCCUAUUACCUGGUUAACUGGAAAAAGCUAUUUGGGACUAUUUAAAAUAUACAUAAAAUAAUAUAUGGUAGAACCUCCAUAGUUGACCACAUCCCUACAUUGACCACCUCACCUCCUUAAGUUGACCUAAUUUUCAUAGACUAGGCAUGCACCACGUGUACAAAUCAGUACAGUAGUCCUAGUUCCUCACAUUGAGCACCUCUGUACCUUGACAAGUUUGUUACAGUCCCUUGGGUGGUCAGCCUACAGAGGUUCUACUAUACUUAGGAGUAACUUUUUGAUUUGAUUAUAAUGGGAGUUAAAGAUUCCUCACAUUAAAGGAAGAUCUCGGAUAAGGAUGCCUGCCUACAAAUGAGCUAGUACUUUUAAAAAAGUGAAUAUCGUAAGUACUAUGCAUGACUAUUUUUUAUGAUUCAUCAAGUCACUAUGAUCUGGGACUAUUUCUAAUUACAGUUUCUUACUUUAUGUUUUUUAUGUGAGUUGUUUCAUUUUGCCAUAAGAAUAUGUCUCACUAAUUAGUUUUCUGUAUUACAUCAUGCAUGCACAUUGGAAAGAAUCUGGGGAAAAUAUAUCCCUUUUCUUUGUUUUCAAAGGAUCUGUGGCUCACCAUUGAUAAUGUGUUUGAACAGCAGCACCUUAAACAAAGCUAUCCCUCCGUCCUUCACCACAUACUAGAGUUGUUGGAGGGUUUGGAAGAUAACAAUUGAAAAAGCAUACUUUACUCUCAGUAUGGAAGGCUCCAGUGGAGAUAGUCUAGAUAAUGAGUACUUGAAUAAAGGAAAAUGUACUUGAGGUGAUUUUUCCCUAUAAAACCAGAUUGCCAUAAUUUGAAUAGGAAUACCUUUUAUUGUUGACUUUUUUCCUGGUUUAUCUGUGGUUCCAUUUAUGAUGUAAACUGUGUUUUGUACUUAUAAUAAAGAAUUGGUAGUAACCCAGAGGUUCCUUUUGUUAGGCUGUAUUGCAAACAGUGGGAAAAGAUCUUUACUUCACGUCUUUGGAUGAUACCACAAUUAAAGAAAAGGAGUCUGGAAGUGAUGUAGUCUUAACUGUGGAUCCAUAGAUGUGACUAAUCAGAAGCUGCUCUUAAACAAGUGACAUCUUACCCAGACCAAGGGAAUAUUUGAAAAAAUUGAAAAUAGUUGACUAUGUAGUGUAUUUGUAGUGGUACUGUUGUCUCCAAAGAUCUGGGGUAUUUCCUCUGCCUUUACUGUCUUGUAUUUCUAAUCAGUUGGGAGGAUUUAUUUCACUAAACAAUUUUCUAACUCAUUACUCGCAUUUCAAAAAAAACCCUAUUUUGACAUCUUUUGAAUAUAGUGUUUCAAUUAAAAAGAUACAGGCUCAUGACAAGUGCCUUGUAUGAUGCUUCUAGGAGGAUAGCUUUGUUAACAGUAAUGUCUUCGAAAUUUUUGUUUUCAUUUUGAAGCUUGGGCUGUCUAAUAAAACAUUCGACUAACAUUCUGUUUGAAUUUGGAAGUAUUCGAAUAUGAUAUGAGAUCUGA